GACGAACGCUGGCGGCGUGCUUAACACAUGCAAGUCGAGCGGUAAGGCCCUUUCGGGGGGUACACGAGCGGCGAACGGGUGAGUAACACGUGGGUGACCUGCCCUCAGCUCUGGGAUAAGCCUGGGAAACCGGGUCUAAUACUGGAUAUGACUCCAUGACGCAUGUUGUGGGGUGGAAAGCCUUGUGCGGCUGAGGAUGGGCCCGCGGCCUAUCAGCUUGUUGGUGGGGUGANGGCCUACCAAGGCGACGACGGGUAGCCGGCCUGAGAGGGCGACCGGCCACACUGGGACUGAGACACGGCCCAGACUCCUACGGGAGGCAGCAGUGGGGAAUCUUGCGCAAUGGGACGAAAGCCUGACGCAGCGACGCCGCGUGA
RNAcentral lists this ribosomal RNA (377 nucleotides) under uncultured bacterium. RNAcentral describes it as "bacterial SSU rRNA". It matches the Rfam family "Bacterial small subunit ribosomal RNA", at positions 28 to 404 of the family's 1533-position model. The record is from RNAcentral.